RNAcentral lists this long non-coding RNA (769 nucleotides) under Homo sapiens (human). Its description in RNAcentral is "HSALNT0225503". The record is from RNAcentral. Lineage: Eukaryota; Metazoa; Chordata; Mammalia; Primates; Hominidae.
AGAAUAUCAUUGUAAUCACUGAUGCUGGAAAGGUUCAUCAGAGAUGAUUCCUGGGGGUAAUUGACCGAACUUGGAGGCUGACAUGGACCAAGUGUAUGCUCUUCCCAAAGGAAAAUGGACCAGGACGGGCAUGUGACAGAGUUCUGGCCAACAGGAUUUCAGGAACAGAGAAGUUGCUUUGGGGAAGGAUUCUGCUUCCUAAUAAACGAAGGUGCUGGCAAAGAUAUUGACAUCUAGCUUCCUUGAACGUGGGAGAAUGUGACGUUUGGAGCUGCAUCAAUCAUCUUGUGACCUUAAAGAGACAAGCCUGAGGAUAAGAAGACAUGGAGGAGGGCAGAGCGAAGGCCAGGAGGAAGCCUGGAUCCUGACCAUACGGCUGAGCUACAGAUCAGUUUCUAAGGCCAGACUUCUGGCUAUGUUAGGGAUUGAUUGAGUUAUCACCCAAACCAGGAUCCUUUUCAGAAUGGAAGUGGGUACUAUCAGAAAUAGCACAAAUACAAACAUGGCACAGUGGGACAUGUGGUCAGCCCUAUGUGAGGUCUCGGAGUGUUAUUAUUGCUGUCACAAAUAUUCUACUACUUGCAACCCAAAUCAGUCCUAGCUUAUAUAUAUAUAAUAUAUAAAUUAUAUAUUUUAAUUAUCUAUUUAUAGCAUACAUAUGGCUAAAAUAUGUAUAAUAAAUAUGCAAUAAAAUGUAUAUAAUAACAUAAAUGCAUUUAUACAUGUAUAUGUAUGUGUGUGUAUAUGUGUGUGUGUAUAUGUGUAUAUA